CCUACGGGAGGCAGCAGUGAGGAAUAUUGGUCAAUGGGCGCGAGCCUGAACCAGCCAAGUAGCGUGAAGGAUGACUGCCCUACGGGUUGUAACCUUCUUUUAUAAAGGAAUAAAGUGAGGCACGUGUGCCUUUUUGUAUGUACUUUAUGAAUAAGGAUCGGCUAACUCCGUGCCAGCAGCCGCGGUAAUACGGAGGAUCCGAGCGUUAUCCGGAUUUAUUGGGUUUAAAGGGAGCGUAGAUGGGAUGUUCAGUCAGUUGUGAAAGUUUGCGGCUCAACCGUAAAAUUGCAAUUGAUACUGGCAGUCUUGAGGGGGCGAGAAGUAUGCGGAAUGCGUGGUGUAGCGGUGAAAUGCAUAGAUAUCACGCAGAACUCCGAUUGCGAAGGCAGCAUACCGGCGCCCAACUGACGCUGAAGCACGAAAGCGUGGGUAUCGAACAGGAUUAGAUACCCCUGUAGUC
This 460-nucleotide ribosomal RNA is filed under the name uncultured bacterium. Its description in RNAcentral is "partial 16S ribosomal RNA". It matches the Rfam family "Bacterial small subunit ribosomal RNA", at positions 338 to 795 of the family's 1533-position model. The record is from RNAcentral.